RNAcentral lists this ribosomal RNA (402 nucleotides) under Triticum aestivum (bread wheat). RNAcentral's name for it is "partial small subunit ribosomal RNA". The record is from RNAcentral. Lineage: Eukaryota; Viridiplantae; Streptophyta; Magnoliopsida; Poales; Poaceae.
AUGCAUGCGUGCAUGCUUGAGAUGAGAUGCGAUGAGAGCAAGCAAGUUGGUAUGCUGCCUACUACUCCCUCCGUUCCGAAAUGUAGGUCGCUGGGGCUUCUGUUUCGACCAGGUGAAAAGUUGACAAUUGACCUGAAUACCCUCCCUUCAAAAUUUGAAUCCCGAUCGAUCGUCUUCCACCUCCGCCUCCGCCCUCCACUUCCACCUCUGCUUCCGCCCUCCACCUCCACCGACCCUCACCUCCGCCCUCCACCUCCAUCUCCACCUCCACCCUCACCUCCGCCCUCCACCUCCAUCUCCACCUCCGCCCUCCAUCUCCACCUCCGCCCCCUGCCCAGGUGCUGCCGCCGCUGGAGUAGAGUUGGUGCUCUGCUGCCGCCCACACACAGGGGCUCCUCCUGA